AGUCGUACGAGAAAUCCCGAGCUUGCUUGGGAGAGUAAAGUGGCGCACGGGUGAGUAACGCGUGGGUAACCCACCUUCGAAUCUGGGAUAACUCCGCGAAAGCGGUGCUAAUACCGGAUAAGACCACAGCCGUUUCGGCGGCAGAGGUAAAAGCUGACCUCUCCAUGGAAGUUAGCGUUCGAGGACGGGCCCGCGUCCUAUCAGCUUGUUGGUGGGGUAAAGGCCUACCAAGGCAGCGACGGGUAGCUGGUCUGAGAGGAUGAUCAGCCACACUGGAACUGGAACACGGUCCAGACUCCUACGGGAGGCAGCAGUGAGGAAUUUUGCGCAAUGGGGGAAACCCUGACGCAGCAACGCCGCGUGGGUGAAGAAGGCUUUCGGGUCGUAAAGCCCUGUCAGGUGGGAAGAACCGUUUCGAUACUAAUAAUGUCGAAGCCUGACGGUACCACCAGAGGAAGCACCGGCCAACUCCGUGCCAGCAGCCGCGGUAAUACGGAGGGUGCAAGCGUUGUUCGGAAUUAUUGGGCGUAAAGAGCGUGUAGGCGGUUCGGUAAGUCAGAUGUGAAAGCCCUGGGCUCAACCCAGGAAGUGCAUUUGAAACUACCAGACUUGAGUACGGGAGGGGAGGGGGGAAUUCCCGGUGUAGAGGUGAAAUUCGUAGAUAUCGGGAGGAAUACCAGUGGCGAAGGCGCCCCUCUGGACCGAUACUGACGCUGAGACGCGAAAGCGUG
Molecule: ribosomal RNA, 731 nt
Filed under: uncultured marine bacterium
Lineage: Bacteria
Description: bacterial SSU rRNA
Rfam family: Bacterial small subunit ribosomal RNA
Source: RNAcentral